ACUGAGCCACCAGCACCGCCCCAAAUAUGAAGAAUUCUAAUAAGUUUUUCCAUAUUUAAUCAUCGUAUAUCUUUUUGUGGUAUUUAACCUCUAAGUUCAGUAUCAGUAUGGUGACCUCCUGGGAGCAGGGGCCCACCAGGUUGCCUAAGGAAAGGUAAACUGGCCCAGGUCAGAAACGGAGCAGCAGGUCAAAGCUCCUGUGCUGAUCAGUAGUGGGAUCGUGCCUGUGAAUAGCCACUGCACUCCAGCCUGGACAUCAUAGUGAGA
This 267-nucleotide small RNA is filed under the name Otolemur garnettii (small-eared galago). Its description in RNAcentral is "Metazoan signal recognition particle RNA (ENSOGAG00000032509.1)". The stretch from base 91 to 213 matches the Rfam family "Metazoan signal recognition particle RNA", at positions 115 to 234 of the family's 299-position model. Lineage: Eukaryota; Metazoa; Chordata; Mammalia; Primates; Galagidae. The record is from RNAcentral.